CUACUACAUGCUUCUCCUGGACCCAUUCUACACCGCCAGGGCAAGCACGUACUCGCCUUAAAGUCUUCCUUCUGAACCUUGUUCCUUUACGUUUCUUUACACGUCAUUCCAACCUGUUACCGACUUUUGUGAUACAACCAGAACAUUUAAUGUCUCAUCUCUAUCUUGUCUUGCCCUUUGACUCUGUAUUUUUCACCAUUUUCUGAGCUAUAAACUUUACUUUGACUCUUCACAGCAAUUCUGCUUUUCUCCAAGUCCUACUGCAUUGGAUCACCUCUUCUAAAUGCUUUUAUUCUUUCAGUUUAGGGGUACGACCUGUCUGAUCCUGGCAUAACUCCCAGAGAUGGUACUUCCACCUUGCCCAGAGCAAGAGCUCCAUGGAGAAUGGCCAUAAAGAGUCACUCUGAAGCAGAUGAAAUCUCAGCAUGAGAGAGAGAUGAGUGUUCUAGUUGAAGUGAGGGCCAUGUUCCAGGAGACACAUCAGCUCUGCCCUUUCAGCUUCCACUAUACCUUUUCCAGGAGAACUUGGAUCAUUUCCACAUCAAGAAAUGCAGUUUGGAAACCCACUGGACCAGGAAAGCAAAGACACAGUCAUGAUGCAAAUACCCCAAGAGAUGUAAAAUGUCAACAAAAGGCACAAUAUAAGAAGGGAAUGAAUAAAGGCAGAGUCUGGACCCUAGUUCCCACUCUACUACUCUUUCUUUUUAGGAAACAUUUGCUGAUGCCUGGUCCCGGAGCUGCAUUUCUCAAGCUUUAAUAUCCAUAAUGGAAUUGGUGAAGAGUGUUUGCGAGGAGAUUUAGCAGGUGUACAAGCCACUCACAGAGUCAGAGGAGCUCACAAGCCCAGUUCAGCAGACAUCCCCUGCACUUCCCUGCAGCUUCGGGAGACAUGGCUAGAAGCCUGUCCCAACCAUCCCAGUCAGUGAAAAUGUCUUGAGAAGAGAGGAGCUAAACCCACGGUUUGGUUUUCUUACCCACUUUGCACUCUCAAAGAGGGUACCAAAUAUAGCAGCUCAAUAAAUAUGGUUUAAAA
Molecule: long non-coding RNA, 1033 nt
Filed under: Vulpes vulpes (red fox)
Lineage: Eukaryota; Metazoa; Chordata; Mammalia; Carnivora; Canidae
Description: lncRNA (ENSVVUG00000009877.1)
Source: RNAcentral